This 67-nucleotide transfer RNA is filed under the name Filhollianassa ceramica. RNAcentral describes it as "tRNA-Pro". Lineage: Eukaryota; Metazoa; Arthropoda; Malacostraca; Decapoda; Callianassidae. The record is from RNAcentral.
CAGAGAAUAGUUUAUCCUAAAAUAUUAACUUUGGAAGUUAAAGAUGUCUAGUUAUUUUCUUCUCUGA